AGAACGAACGCUUGCGACGUGCCUAAGAAAUGCAAGUCGAACGGACCAGCAGCAAUGCUGGUUAGUGGCGAACGGUCGCGUAACACGUGGGCAACCUGCCCUGAAGCGGGGGACAACAACUCGAAAGAGUUGCUAAUACCGCAUGUGUAUCGCUGUGGCAUCACAGAGGAUACAAAGCCGCAAGGCACUUCAGGAUGGGCCCGCGGCCUAUCAGCUAGUUGGUGAGGUAACGGCUCACCAAGGCUUCGACGGGUAGCUGGUCUGAGAGGACGAUCAGCCGGAUUGGGACUGAGAUACGGCCCAGACUCCUACGGGGGGCAGCAAUUAGGAAUCUUGCACAAUGGGCGAAAGCCUGAUGCAGCGACGUCGCGUGAAGGAUGAAAUCUUUCGGGAUGUAAACUUCUUUACCAGGGAAGAAAUAAUGACGGUACCUGGUGAAUAAGCCCCGGCUAACUACGUGCCAGCAGCCGCGGU
Molecule: ribosomal RNA, 474 nt
Filed under: uncultured bacterium
Lineage: Bacteria
Description: SSU rRNA
Rfam family: Bacterial small subunit ribosomal RNA
Source: RNAcentral